UAUGGCUAUAUCACGUUGAAACAACGGUUUUCGUACGAUCACCGAAGUUAAGCAAUGCCGAGCUUGUUCAGUAUCUCGAUGGGCGACCACUUGGGAAUAUCAGAUGCUGUAUG
Non-coding RNA from Acanthosepion pharaonis, 113 nucleotides. The record is from the annotation of a GenBank genome assembly. Lineage: Eukaryota; Metazoa; Mollusca; Cephalopoda; Sepiida; Sepiidae.